AGAUUGAACGCUGGCGGCAGGCCUAACACAUGCAAGUCGAGCGGUAGAGAGGUGCUUGCAUCUCUUGAGAGCGGCGGACGGGUGAGUAAUGCCUAGGAAUCUGCCUAGUGGUGGGGGAUAACGUUCGGAAACGGACGCUAAUACCGCAUACGUCCUACGGGAGAAAGCGGGGGACCUUCGGGCCUCGCGCCAUUAGAUGAGCCUAGGUCGGAUUAGCUAGUUGGUGAGGUAAUGGCUCACCAAAGGCGACGAUCCGUAACUGGUCUGAGAGGAUGAUCAGUCACACUGGAACUGAGACACGGUCCAGACUCCUACGGGAGCAGCAGUGGGAAUAUGGACAAUGGGCGAAAGCCUGAUCCAGCCAUGCCGCGUGUGUGAAGAAGGUCUUCGGAUUGAAAGCAACGUUUAAGUUGGGAAGGUAAGGGUUGUAAACUUUAAUACGUUUGACCUAACUUUUUGAACCGUUUAACCGACUAAGAAUAAGCAACCGGCUAACUCGACGCCAGCACGCGUA
RNAcentral lists this ribosomal RNA (514 nucleotides) under uncultured soil bacterium. RNAcentral describes it as "bacterial SSU rRNA". It matches the Rfam family "Bacterial small subunit ribosomal RNA", at positions 26 to 521 of the family's 1533-position model. The record is from RNAcentral.